Long non-coding RNA from Lycium ferocissimum, 809 nucleotides. RefSeq lists it as uncharacterized. NCBI's taxonomy places the organism in Eukaryota, Viridiplantae, Streptophyta, Magnoliopsida, Solanales, Solanaceae. The record is from RefSeq and is a predicted model, not a curated record. The transcript is spliced from 2 exons.
UUGUGUUAAUGUCACGAUCGGAAAAUAUUGAAGCUACAUUAUAAAUGAGUGACAUGCCUCAAAUCGUUUGUCUACUCAAAGUAACAUAACGAAGAAUCAGUCUUGUUUGAGUGAGCUCCUUCCACUAGAAAUUGAAGGGAUGGGAAAAAGGAAAGCCACAGAUAGCGAAGAUCUCAAGACAUCUGGUCAUAACUCAUGUUGUGGGAUAUCGUCGAUGCUUUAUGGGAUAAAGAAGAAGGUAAAUACGAAGCGUAGCUUUUCUCCUAAAACACCGCCAGUUACCUCGGCAAAAAAGUCCGUAAUCUCAAGCCCGAGCCCGAAACUUAAACGGAACUUAUCUCAAGUAUAUGAAGGAGAUGACUCUUUAUCAGAAACUGAAACUUUCGAAAGGGAAAAGAAGUCUAAGAUCACUACUAUUACGGAAAAUGAAAAGUCCAAAAAGGAAAAGAAAAAACCUACCCAAGAUGAUGAUGAUGAUGAUGCUAAGUUACAAAGUAAGAAGAAAAAAACAGAUGUUAAUAAGCCAAACCGCAAAAAUAAGGAGAUAGAGACUUGAAAAUUUGGCACCAAUUGUAACUUUUAGAAAUAAAUUAAUCACUGAAGAAUAGGGAAAAUUAACUUCCAAGUUAACGAUAUAUCAGUGGUGUGAUCUUCUCCGGCUACCAGUUAUUUAAGGUAUUCAGCAUGUUCAAUUAUUAUUGACAUUUUCUGUAAUCUUUCAAGGAACCCCUCGUUCCUUUUUCGUUUUCUUUGUUCACUUUUUUUUAUUUUAUGAAGUACGAAAUAAUGAGCCAACGGACCUUAUGCUG